Molecule: long non-coding RNA, 605 nt
Organism: Dermochelys coriacea (leatherback sea turtle)
Lineage: Eukaryota; Metazoa; Chordata; Testudines; Dermochelyidae
Exons: 3
Source: RefSeq, a predicted model, not a curated record
AUAUAAAUGGAAGGAACAGGAAGCAAGAGGAACCUCAGAAGGAGAGAGUAGGCUGAGGACUGAAGGCUGUAGGGAAACUGCCUUUUGCUGUAUGCUGUUAUACCUUUUAAGAAAGGACUAAAUACACAUGUGGUGAAAAGGAAGGCACGUAAAGUACUACAACUUUCAAGUACCAGAAAGGACAUCUAGUGAAUGAAGGAUUCAAUCCAGAAGUUAGAUUUUUUUUUUUUAAAUUUCUUUGAUGGGAUUGCAAAACUCUAUAUUGCUUUGAGAAAAGAUCUGCAAAAAGGUGGCUUCUUGUCAAAUAUGACUGUAAGUGGUACAUCCAUGACAUUCUGAAUGUUGCAGAAAAGGCAGCUUCAUGUUACUUCUAGAAUUCAAGAGGGAUAAUUUCAUAUUGCCAGUGUUAAAACUCUACACAGCUAACAUCAGAAAAGUAUAAAAAGAAUGAUCUAAACAUACUGAACUGGUGUUAAAUAACGCAAUUCUGGCUGAAGCCAGAUAUUAUGCAAAUGUAACUGGUAUUUUAUGUGAUGACCAAGUUACUGUGCUUUCUAUUAGAAACAUUCUUUCAAUGAAAAGAAUCUUCAUAUUGCAAAUCUGAG